AAGGGAAAGAGAAUUCAACCUGUGUGGAGAACGGUCCUGGUAAUGUCAAAGGGAAAUGGGCAGACUCAACUCCCGUCUGUAGAGCAAUAACCUGCGACACGCCGUCCCUGACAAAUGGACAAGAGUCUGUUUCGAAAACUGUACAUCUAGGUUCAGCAGUUAGCUACCGGUGUAACACAGGUUACGUUCUAGAAGGGAAAGGAAAUUCGACCUGUGUCGAGGAUGGUCCUGAUAAUGUUAAAGGGAGCUGGGCUGACCCGAUACCUGCAUGCACAGCUAUUACCUGUGAACCUCCUGUCAUAUCAAACGGACAUGUAUCAGUCAUCAAAGCAGCGGUGUAUGGGUCAACUGUAACCUAUCAUUGUAACCAAGGCUUUGUUCUCGAUGGGAAAGGAAGCUCCAAGUGUAGUCAAAAUGGAACUGACA
This is a long non-coding RNA of Lineus longissimus, 426 nucleotides long. RefSeq lists it as uncharacterized. NCBI's taxonomy places the organism in Eukaryota, Metazoa, Nemertea, Pilidiophora, Heteronemertea, Lineidae. The transcript is spliced from 3 exons. The record is from RefSeq and is a predicted model, not a curated record.